GAUGAACGUUGGCGGCGUGCCUAAUACAUGCAAGUCGAACGAAGACUGUAGUAAUACUGUCUUAGUGGCGAACGGGUGAGUAACGCGUGGGUGACCUGCCCCGAAGUGUGGGAUAACAGUUCGAAAGAACUGCUAAUACCGCAUAAUAUCCAAGAGAUUAGACGCUUUUUGGAUUAAAGGAGUAAUUCGCUUCGGGAGGGGCCCGCGUCCCAUCAGCUAGUUGGUAAGGUAAUGGCUUACCAAGGCGAUGACGGGUAGGGGACCUGAGAGGGUGGCCCCCCACAAUGGAACUGAAACACGGUCCAUACACCUACGGGUGGCAGCAGUAGGGAAUAUUGCAAAUGGGCGAAAGCCUGAUGUAGCAACGCCGCGUGUGCGAUGAAGGUCUUCGGAUUGUAAAGCACUUUUUGGAGGGAUGAGGAAGGACAGUACCUCCAGAAUAAGCCUCGGCUAACUACGUG
RNAcentral lists this ribosomal RNA (461 nucleotides) under uncultured bacterium. RNAcentral describes it as "bacterial SSU rRNA". It matches the Rfam family "Bacterial small subunit ribosomal RNA", at positions 28 to 507 of the family's 1533-position model. The record is from RNAcentral.